UACGUAGGUGGCAAGCGUUGUCCGGAAUUACUGGGUGUAAAGGGCGUGUAGGCGGGAAGGCAAGUCAGAUGUGAAAUCCCAGGGCUUAACUCUGGAGCUGCAUCUGAAACUGUUUUUCUUGAGUACUGGAGAGGAAAGUGGAAUUCCUAGUGUAGCGGUUAAAUGCGUAGAGAUUAGGAGGAACACCAUUGGCGAAGGCGGCUUUCUGGACAGUAACUGACGCUGAGGCGCGAAAGCGUGGGGAGCAAACAGGAUUAGAUACCCUGGUAGU
Molecule: ribosomal RNA, 271 nt
Filed under: uncultured prokaryote
Description: partial 16S ribosomal RNA
Rfam family: Bacterial small subunit ribosomal RNA
Source: RNAcentral